UGCUUAACACAUGCAAGUCUACGAGAAAGAGGUAGCAAUAUCUUGAUUAAAGUGGCGCACGGGUGAGUAACACGUAAGCAAUCUACCCUUAGAUCCGGAAUAACUUCGAGAAAUCGUGGCUAAUACCGGGUAAUGCAGCGGCACCGCAUGGUGAUGUUGUUAAAGUUUCGAUGUCUAAGGAUGAGCUUGCGUCUGAUUAGCUAGUUGGUGAGGUAACGGCCCACCAAGGCUACGAUCAGUAGCUGGUCUGAGAGGAUGAUCAGCCACACUGGAACUGAGACACGGUCCAGACUCCUACGGGAGGCAGCAGUGAGGAAUAUUGGGCAAUGCCCGCAAGGGUGACCCAGCAACGCCGCGUGGAGGAUGAAUGCCGUAAGGUUGUUACUCC
RNAcentral lists this ribosomal RNA (388 nucleotides) under uncultured organism. Its description in RNAcentral is "bacterial SSU rRNA". It matches the Rfam family "Bacterial small subunit ribosomal RNA", at positions 45 to 433 of the family's 1533-position model. The record is from RNAcentral.